GGUUCGAAGUCUGUUGGGAGGGA
This 23-nucleotide non-coding RNA is filed under the name Arabidopsis thaliana (thale cress). Lineage: Eukaryota; Viridiplantae; Streptophyta; Magnoliopsida; Brassicales; Brassicaceae. The record is from RNAcentral.